GCAGUGAUACAAAACAGAUAUAUCAUGUCAGAACAUAAUUCGUGGGUGUUACUUUAUUAUAAUGGACUAGGGAACAAUUUUUUACGAUGUAAAAGGUGUCCAAAAGUUUAUAUGAAAUUCUAUAUUAAGACGAAAGUUUUUAAAAGACAUCUUAGACAGAUGCAUCCGGAAGAAAUACGUCAGAAAGUAGAUAUAGGACCACGUUGGGAGCUACAGUUUGGGGAUUUCAAUGGCGAAAAAAUCCAAUGCACUUUUUGCCAUAGAAAUUAUUAUGCAGGCGAACGUAACGGGCUUCUACAAACACAUUUGGAAGACGGUCAUCAAAUUUAUGAAAUUACUAAAAAGGAUAAACAGAUUAAUUGGCUGAAUAAUUAUAUUGAGGUAGAUGGGUCAAAAUGCUUAAUAUGCAACCACAUUUUUCGAAGAGGCUCAGAAUUUAUUUAUUACAGAAAACAUUUAUUGUUUAAUCAUGACAUUAUUCCACCUUUCGAUAAAUUAUCCCCCGAAUAAUUAGAUCAUAAGAGAAAAGAUUACUAAGAAAAUUCAAGUUGAAAGUUCAAUAAAGCUCGAAUUUAAUAACAGAGAUACAGAUUCCAAAACAAAUUUUAAAGACGAUGCUAUACAUCAAGCAGCUAUCGGUAACAAUAACGGCAAUUUUAAAUCAAACUUACGGUUUAUUGCUACAAAUAAAUGAAGAAAUUAACGAUCUUGACAAAUAUUAAUUUUUUUGUAUUUUAUAUAGAGCAACAUUAUGAAUUAAAUAUAACCUUUUUUUUGCAUA
This is an RNA transcript of Cataglyphis hispanica, 781 nucleotides long. RefSeq lists it as uncharacterized. The transcript has 2 exons. Lineage: Eukaryota; Metazoa; Arthropoda; Insecta; Hymenoptera; Formicidae. The record is from RefSeq and is a predicted model, not a curated record.